Molecule: ribosomal RNA, 519 nt
Filed under: uncultured bacterium
Lineage: Bacteria
Description: bacterial SSU rRNA
Rfam family: Bacterial small subunit ribosomal RNA
Source: RNAcentral
CUGGCGGCGUGCCUAAUACAUGCAAGUCGAAACGCAUUGUGGUUGAAAUGAUAUGAAGAACUUGUUCAAGAUUUGAUUUUCAACAUUGCAAUGAGUGGCGAACGGGUGAGUAACACGUGGGAAACCUACCUCUUAGCAGGGGAUAACAUUUGGAAACAAAUGCUAAUACCGUAUAAUAAUUAAAACCGCAUGGUUUUAGUUUAAAAGAUGGUCUUGCUAUCACUAAGAGAUGGUCCCGCGGUGUAUUAGUUAGUUGGUGAGGUAAUGGCUCACCAAGACAAUGAUACAUAGCCGAGUUGAGAGACUGACCGGCCACAAUGGGACUGAGACACGGCCCAUACUCCUACGGGAGGCAGCAGUAGGGAAUCUUCCACAAUGGACGAAAGUCUGACGGAGCAACGCCGCGUGUGUGAUGAAGGGUUUCGGCUCGUAAAACACUGUUGUAAGAGAAGAAUGACAUUGAGAGUAACUGUUCAAUGUGUGACGGUAUCUUACCAGAAAGGAACGGCUAAAUACGUG